This 524-nucleotide ribosomal RNA is filed under the name uncultured bacterium. RNAcentral's name for it is "partial 16S ribosomal RNA". It matches the Rfam family "Bacterial small subunit ribosomal RNA", at positions 28 to 523 of the family's 1533-position model. The record is from RNAcentral.
GACGAACGCUGGCGGCGUGCCUAAUACAUGCAUGUCGAGCGCAGGAAAUCGACGGAACCCUUCGGGGGGAAGUCGACGGAAUGAGCGGCGGACGGGUGAGUAACACGUAAAGAACCUGCCCUCAGGUCUGGGAUAACCACGAGAAAUCGGGGCUAAUACCGGAUGGGUCAUCGGACCGCAUGGUCCGAGGAUGAAAGGCGCUUCGGCGUCGCCUGGGGAUGGCUUUGCGGUGCAUUAGCUAGUUGGUGGGGUAAUGGCCCACCAAGGCGACGGUGCAUAGCCGACCUGAGAGGGCGAUCGGCCACACUGGGACUGAGACACGGCCCAGACUCCUACGGGAGGCAGCAGUAGGGAAUCUUCCACAAUGGACGAAAGUCUGAUGGAGCAACGCCGCGUGAACGAUGAAGGCCUUCGGGUCGUAAAGUUCUGUUGUAAGGGAAGAACAAGUGCCGCAGGCAAUGGCGGCACCUUGACGGUACCUUGCGAGAAAGCCACGGCUAACUACGUGCCAGCCGCCGCCGUAA